AGAGACGCGGUAAGGGGGCGGGGCCAAGGUCCCGGCGCUCGGCGUUCCAGAGGGUGGGGAGGGGGCAAGUGUCAGUCAGGACGGGAGUCCGGCGGGUUACCGCUGAGACCUCGGUGGCAGACAGGGGGUCCGGGCCGCUGCGUGUUGUCCACCCAAGAUGGAGUUCCUCCUGGGGAACCCGUUCAGCACCCCGGUGGGGCAGUGCCUCGAAAAGGCAACAGAUGGCUCCCUGCAAAGUGAGGAUUGGACAUUGAAUAUGGAGAUCUGUGACAUCAUCAAUGAGACGGAGGAAGGGCCAAAGGAUGCCAUUCGAGCCCUGAAGAAGCGACUCAAUGGGAACCGGAACUACAGAGAGGUGAUGCUGGCAUUAACAGUGCUGGAGACAUGUGUGAAGAACUGUGGCCACCGCUUCCACAUCCUUGUGGCCAACCGAGAUUUCAUCGACAGUGUUCUGGUGAAAAUUAUCUCUCCCAAGAACAACCCUCCCACCAUUGUACAGGACAAAGUGCUUGCUCUGAUCCAGGCAUGGGCUGACGCCUUUCGAAGCAGUCCUGAUCUCACUGGCGUUGUGCACAUAUAUGAGGAGCUGAAGAGGAAAGGGGUUGAAUUUCCCAUGGCAGACUUGGACGCUCUGUCUCCCAUACACACACCACAGCGGAGUGUCCCUGAAGUGGAUCCAGCCGCCACCAUGCCCAGGUCCCAAUCCCAGCAGAGGACAAGUGCUGGUUCCUAUUCCUCGCCGCCUCCUGCUCCCUACUCCGCACCGCAGGCCCCGGCUCUGAGUGUGACUGGCCCCAUCACAGCCAAUUCAGAACAGAUUGCCAGGCUGCGGAGUGAACUGGACGUCGUCCGAGGAAACACAAAAGUCAUGUCUGAGAUGUUAACAGAAAUGGUCCCUGGACAGGAGGAUUCAUCUGAUCUGGAGUUGCUGCAGGAGCUGAACAGGACCUGCCGGGCCAUGCAGCAGCGCAUCGUGGAGCUCAUCUCCCGCGUGUCCAACGAGGAGGUCACCGAGGAGCUGCUGCAUGUGAACGACGACCUCAACAAUGUCUUCCUUCGAUAUGAGAGGUUCGAACGAUACAGGUCUGGCCGAUCGGUUCAAAAUGCCAGUAAUGGGGUACUGAAUGAAGUGACUGAAGACAACUUAAUAGACCUGGGGCCAGGGUCUCCAGCCGUGGUGAGCCCGAUGGUGGGGAACACAGCGCCCCCAUCUUCCCUCUCCUCCCAGCUUGCAGGCUUGGACUUGGGGACAGAGAGCGUCAGUGGCACCCUCAGUUCACUCCAGCAAUGUAAUCCCCGUGACAGCUUUGACAUGUUUGCCCAGACGAGAGGAAACUCCUUGGCUGAGCAGCGCAAGACGGUAACCUAUGAGGAUCCUCAGGCUGUCGGAGGACUUGCUUCUGCCCUAGACAGUCGAAAACAGAGCUCAGAAGGGAUCCCCGUUGCGCAGCCCUCUGUCAUGGACGACAUUGAGGUGUGGCUCAGGACCGACCUGGUGAGACUCGACUUUUCUACUUCAUGUGUGGGGUGUGGAGCGGCAGAGGCUCUUCUGAGGACAGGCCUUGGGGGAGCACCAGCAGGGGCUCCACCUCUGUCUGGGUCAGUGGAGAAGGGAGGUCUGGGCACGCUCCAUAGCUGCUCCUCCUCCCCGACAUCAGCCCAUAGCUGUGGAUGCUGCGGUGGCCUCCAGGCCUGCGGAGGCCAGCUGUGCUGGGGCAAGGCCCUGGGCACCAACUCCUUUACCCACACAGUCCUAGCCUUAGCCGGCUCCAAAACAUACACUUGCCUUCCCCCCAGUUUCUUUUCCAUUUAAGAUGUGUGUGCGUGCUUUGGUUUUUGGGGGGAGGGAGUGUGGGGGGAGCAUGUUUUGUUUUGUUUUUUGUUUUCAUUUCUUUUUUUUUUAAUUGUGAAGUAUACACACAGUGCUUUUGUUUUUAAUUCGCUGUCAUCCCCCUCCUCUCUUCCUGAUUUUUGAUUUAAAAGAGCCCCUGCCCCAAAGACCCAUUGUCUCCAUCCUAGAGAUAGGGCUAGAAGAUGAGGAUACUAUGCAUCUGAAAAUGGCAACAGGUCCCAAGAAAGGAGAGCUGCAGUGGCUGCCCGUGAUAACUGCUGGCCCUCCCUCUGUUCUUCACAAAGCACUUUCACUCUCAGCAGCCCAGCAGGGGGUCAGGGUGGCAGGUGAAGAAGUGCACUCUGGGAAAUGGCUUGCCCAGAGUCAUGGGGUAGUUGGAUUCUCCCCCAGAGCUGGAGAUACCUCAUCUCCCUCCUAGCUGCCUCCUCUGCAGGGGGCCUUGUCCCCAGGCAGAAGAGCCUGUUGAGUUCUUUAACCACAGGGUCAGCCUGGCUGUCUUUGGGCUGGUGACCUGGCCACCUCCCACACUAGGACAGCAGGCCUCAGGUUGGGGCCUCUGGCUGCUCUGGGCCUCCUCCCCAGAAGGUCAGGCUUUCCAAACACAUGCCUUGCCAAAGAAGGCAGCUGCCUGGGUGUCAGGGAAGAAGAACACACCCCAGGACAUCUUCCCAAGGGGAUGCCUCGGAAAGAAAUUGCUUCUCUCGCAGAAGCAAGGCAGGAAGGACCAAGGUCCUUAAUUUCUAAGGGGGACCCCAGGGUCCAGACAGGGAAGGGAUGUGUCCAGUAAGGCUACAUAGCAGGUCAGUGGUAGAGCCAGGAAGGAACCCGGGUCUCCUAGCCCAGCCCAGGGCUUUGUCACUUCCCCAUCCUGCCCCUUCCCAAUGAGGCCCUGCACAUGCUGCUCUUCCCCAGUCCCCAGGGAACCCCGUGAACUCAAGACACUACUGUGUUCUCCAAACAAAAUCAAAUCUGAUGCACUUUAAUUUUUGAGUGCACAGAACUUCCAUGGCUCCUUCAGGAGCCAGCAGCAGGUGAUAUAAUCUGGGCCACAGGAGGAGGCUGGUGCAGCUCCCAGGAGGCGGCAGGACAUGGCUUCUGGAGGCACAGCCUCCACUGCCAAAGUACCUACUGAGUGACAGGCCCUGUGCUGUGGGCUUUGUGGCCCUGAGCCAUCCAGGCCUCGUGCGGUUUCCAGCUAUUGGUGUGAACAGCCUCUUCCCAGAAACCCUGUGGCUGGCAGCGAGUGGGUGUUGUGUUGGGCACACGUGACCCUGUGUGUGCUCAGGGUGUGCUCAGGCUACUGCUCUGUAGCUCAGGCUACACCCCUGUGGCUACUGCUCUGUGCCUCUCCCUAGAGCCUCAAGAGUGCUGAAGGUAGGGUCCUGCCCUCCUCAGCCCAGGCUGGAGAACCAGCCUGCACCAUUUUUGGAGUUUUCUCUCCAGCCCUUCUGGAGGAUCAAAACCUAAAACAUAUUUGAAUUUUUUUGCUUUUGUUUUUUGAAACAAGGCUUCUCUUUCUUCAAUAGGAAGAACAGUAUUUUACUAUUACAGAAAUCUGGAAACAGGAGAAAUUAGGAAGUUUUGUUUGGGCUGCCCUGGGUAGUGCUGCCCUAGGGUGGCCAUGGGCAGACAGAGGUGGCUGGGCGGGCAGUGCUUGGACCACUGCCCUAAUUUCAUUCUCUCUGCUCCUCCCACAGAAGGGCGAUGACCUGGAGGAGGGUGUCACAAGUGAAGAGUUUGAUAAAUUCCUUGAAGAAAGAGCCAAAGCUGCUGAAAUGGUUCCUGACCUCCCCUCGCCCCCCAUGGAGGCUCCUGCCCCAGCCUCAAACCCUUCUGGCCGGAAGAAGCCAGAGCGGUCAGAGGAUGCCCUCUUCGCCCUGUGAGCGGCUUUGUGGUUUGCCUCCCCAGAUGGCGGGUCCCCACUCGCACCCCAUGGACACCAGGCACUGGCCACUCCUGCAUCCCCAGCUCCACACGGCCUGCACACCUGUGUCUCCAUGGAAAUGCCACCGUGUCUGCUCCCGGGCUUCCCACUAGUCAGGACCAGCUUUAGCCACCUUCUUUUCUCUGAGUGGUGGGACAGCUGCAGCCAGAGACUCCUUUCCCUCCCACUACGGGCCCCUCUGCCCAUGUUUCCUCUAAGGAAGAGUGGGCAGAGUGGCCCAGCCCCAGGCAGUGCUUCCUGAGCAGACCACCCGGACUGUCUUUCCUCCACCCACCCACGGAGAAGGAGCAGGCCUGGCCCUGCCCUGUGCUCACCUCUGCCUGGCUCAGCAACCUUCUCAGGCAUUCUGCCCACCUGGGCACCUCUCUCCCCAAAGGGGCUUUGUGGCAUCUCUGGAAGAGCAGGGUGCGCUGCACCCACCUGGGGCCUGGUCUCCCUCCUUGGACUUGUCACUUUGUGACGUUUGGCUUGUCGGCACUUGAGAAGGCUCUGCUGGGUGUCCACGGAGGGUCUCUCACCUUGACCCUCUCUCCAUCACUCAGCUGCCAGCGCAGGCUUCACACCCGAGCUGGCUCAGCAGCUGAGCCUGGCACCAAGGGGCCCUGCAGGCUCCCAGGGCAGGGAGAGGGCCAAGGACAAUUGGGAGGGCAGCAGGCAGCCCGCAGAUGGUGGCCAUGUGGCACGCUGCUGAGACAACACUACCAAUAAACCAAACUGCCGUGCACACACUGCAGGCUCACACCCGCACACCUGGCCCUGGCUUGUGGAGGGGCUUGCAUUGGAGGCAUUGCUCUGGCUUGCCUGGGGAAGUGUCGCAGGUGUGCACAUGGGCCACACUCAAGGCUGUGGCCUGGCCUAUCGUAGCCUCACACCUCUGCCUCCAGAGCCAGCAGUAAAGAACUUUGCAGCACGCUUGGAGGUUCCCAAUGACUGAGAGGCCUGAGCAGCACUAAGGCCCCCGCACUGCUCUCUGGCAUCGGCCUUGGCCUGCUUGCACAGACUGUCCUGACAGCCUGGCCUCCUCCCACCUCAGAGGUUCUCUGGCCACCAAUUUAUACUGUCUCCCCAAGCUGAUCCUGAAGGCAGACAGAGCAGCUAGGGGCUGGUAACAUAUACUCCCAUCCUGUGUCCUCGCUGGUGUGUCUCCUGGCCAUGGGCAAGGGACUCAUGGGUUAUCCCAGGUGCUGGUCCAACCAGACACCUCCCCCACACCUCUCAGCAAGCUGCUGUUGCUCAGAAGAAGGAGAAUGCUGCAGCUGUACACACCCCCGUGCGUCUUGGGCCCAGCUCACUGGGUCAGUCUGUUUCUGUCCCCUCCAGCAUGCACUGCCUAGGUCAGCACAGGUUCCUGGCCCAUGGUGUAGUUAGCCCUUCCCAUCUGGCAGGAUGGCCCAGACCACCAGCCAAGCAGGGAAAGGGGGCUGGGCUUGACAGGAGAAGGGACCAGUGACACGGUCUUUGGGGAGCAUUCAGGAUGGCGACUUCAGCUGGGAGCCAUGCUGAGCACCAACAGGAACUGUUCAGUGAAGAGCAAGUGCUGCCCGACCCAGGACCCCGUGCCAGGCUAGCAGCCCUCCAGCUUCCUCCUGAGAGGAGACCUCGGUCUGGCUGAGGGUGGGACUAGCGGGGAUGUCACACUCCAGUUCCUCAGGUUCACCCAGGGAGCUCCUCCAUGGAGCCUGGCCAGCCUGAUUCUAGCCCUGUCCUCUCUGGCAGUACGUGCCACACCUGGCCUCUCUGCUCCCUGACGCUUGACGAGCCCCUGCCUGUCUCCUCAAUGUUUCUCAGAGACAGACCUCCCUGAGGCCAGCUUGAAUGUCAAGACUUCUGAAGUCAGCUGGCUUCACUUGAGCUGCAGAAAAGGUGGCUGGGAUGGCCCAGGUGCACCCAGAGGCCCCAGCCCUUUGGCUGCCUUUGGGUUGUGACUUGGGUUGUCUCUGAGGCCCUGCCAGAGCUGGGCCUGCGGGUGGUGGGCGGCUGGACCUCGGGCAGUCAGCGCUGUGCAGCCUCAGCACUGUAGCCCAGACCCAGUGUCCUCGGAGGGAAGAGCCAGCAUCCCUGUCCCAUGGAACGGGGAGUCCCGGAAGGUCAGGAGCCUGGAGGCUCUGAAAGGAGCAGGGCUUCCAUAGUGCUUGAAGCUGGGAUAGGUGCCCUCCUGGGGAGCCCCCAGCAAAGCUGUUUUUCAUACCCACGCCCAGAGCUGCCCCACCCCAGUUCCGGCUCCCGCUCUGGCUCCAGUGCCAGCUGGUUGCCAGCCAUGAUUGGAGAGGCCUGGCUGUCCCAGGGGCAGCAGGGAGUGGUGGACCUGUAUGGGCUGGCAGGAGGCCAUUGGCCAUGCUGACAAGUAUCACCUGCCUUCCUGGCCUGGAGCCACCCCUCGGGUGGCUUUCCAGUGCCUACUUGCACCUCCUAUCCAGAGGUAGCCUUCCCCACCUGUAGGCAGAGGGAGCUCUUGCUUGAGACCUUCACAGGAAGCAAGUACAGCCCCAGUGACCUAGAGGGGCUUCCGCUCAGCCCUGGCGAGAUGUCCUGUCCUGAGGUCUCUGCUCCCAGACUCCACCAUCUGGGGAGCACAGUCCUCAGGCUGCCUGGUCCAGGAAGGGGGCGCGAAGCUGUCAGGAAACCUGGACUCUCAAGGCCCACCAGCCUCUCCGUGAGUGUUAGAAAUCACAGAUACAGUAUAUACUUAAUUACACUAAAUUAUUGCUGGGAUUCCUCAUAAGCACUAAUUAUACCUGAUUAUAGGUUAAAAUAUUUAUUUUGUCAAAAUAUUUUCUUGGGAAUGUGUUUAACCCUUUCUGUGUUCAUUGUGUGCUGAGAUGUGAAAACUAGCCAUUCCCUCCUGCCUACCGUUUUGGCCAGUGGGCAGCAGAGAAUGGCGCCAUGUGCAGUUGGGCCCCCGGCACCGUGGGCCUUCGGCCCGCCUGCCACGGAGUGGCCCUGCCUGGGCAGCCUGCAGGCACUGAGCAGACCAACUGUGGCCAGGCUGAGAGAAUGACCGGCUCGCUUACCAGCGUGCAUGGGACAAGGGGCUUUGGAGCCUCAAGGGGUUGUUGGCCUGGGCUGGAGGGAAAGGUGACCAUCCAGCUUUCUGUCCUCCUGUCUUUCUGUUAGCGCCUCCACGUGAGUGAUGGUGCCUUGGUUCACUGGCCUUCCCCCACCUCCCCACCCUGCCACCUGGUGAUCUUGGGGCCUGUGCUGUCACUCCAGCCCCUGGGGAGGAGACGACCCAGCCGGGAGAGUUGGGGCAAGGGCUCUGCGUGGCCCAGGGGCAACAGAUGCUCGCAGGGCAGCUGCUGCCAAUGCUCACGCUCCUGCCCCCCUCCUUCCCACUGCCACACCCCAUCCUGGGUCCCCGCAGACACACAUCUCUAGCUCAGUCGGGCCCAGCCUUCUGGAUGGCUCAGGGUAGGCCAUGGGCCCACCUGGGGCCAGGCCAGCCCCUGCAGCUCUGGAAGAGCAGUGUGAAGGAGCGCUUGCUUGCAGCCUGGCCUCAGCCUCUGGCACUGCUGGGUGGCCCCCAGGAGCCUCUCCACUGUCGGCUGUGGGGACAUCUCAUCCAUUUGGGUUACAGCCAGCCUUCCCCACCCAGAGAGAAAUGUUUCCACCCCAGAGACAUUGCUUGUCAGCCCCUGAAGUGCUUGCCUCCCCCAGUGCCCGUCACCAGCCCUUCCUAUCUGUGGGGUCCAAGACAGGCUUCCCCUGCAGCCACCAGCUGCCGGGAGCAGCCAUCAGCCCCUGAGUCAGAACUGCUUCUGUCUGUCCAUACCUCCAGGCUCUCCCGGAGACGGGGACAGAUAUUUAUUUCCUAAAGUUUGCACUUAAUUGUGAGGAUUCUCAGGAUUGUUGGGGGCUACCUGAAAAAGAGGAAUGUGUUGAAUGUUGCAUUUGCUGUCCACUCGUCCUAGUAGUUUAGUGUUCUUGUCACUGUCAUGUGUUUCUGUGGGCAGAGCUGGUUCUGGAGGGUGGGUCAGUGCACCCGAGGCUCAGAGCAUCCAUCCACCCCACUGGCCCUCCUUCCAGAUACCCUCUCUCUAGUUGGGUUCUUGCAUGUAAAAUACUCCACAAUAAAUAAGCAAUUGAACAAAUU
This is an RNA transcript of Piliocolobus tephrosceles (Ugandan red Colobus), 7887 nucleotides long. It is a transcript of the gene named target of myb1 like 2 membrane trafficking protein, with no coding region annotated. Lineage: Eukaryota; Metazoa; Chordata; Mammalia; Primates; Cercopithecidae. The record is from RefSeq and is a predicted model, not a curated record. The transcript has 14 exons.